Molecule: long non-coding RNA, 402 nt
Organism: Heterocephalus glaber (naked mole-rat)
Lineage: Eukaryota; Metazoa; Chordata; Mammalia; Rodentia; Bathyergidae
Source: Ensembl
UGUGGUUCUUGCUCGGCAGUUCCCGUCAACUUGUAGGAAUGAAUUGAUUGUAAUCACUGGAGUUCAUCUGAGCUUCUUGGAAAAACAAAUAAAUCGAAGACCAUCCCUUACAAGGUUCGUGUUCAUUAUACACAGUAUAUGCCUUCUGGAGAGUUCAUGACUAGACAGAAACAUAUCUGUCCUUGUCAUUGAACAAGUAUUCUUCUCUGCAGUGGAUUGGGAGAGCCAAGAGGCUAAGAUGGUGUUACUCUUAUAUGAGGGACCAUAGAAGUUGUAGUAUUAUCACAGAAAACCCACUUCAUUGCUGGCUCUUGGAGAUGAAAUUGAAAAUGCAUGUGCAGCAGUCUCAAUGACCAAGGUUAUGCAAGCAGCAGUUUGCCACACUAAUAAAUGUUUGGAAGC